This 498-nucleotide ribosomal RNA is filed under the name uncultured bacterium. RNAcentral describes it as "partial 16S ribosomal RNA". It matches the Rfam family "Bacterial small subunit ribosomal RNA", at positions 30 to 523 of the family's 1533-position model. The record is from RNAcentral.
AUUGAACGCUGGCGGCAUGCUUUACACAUGCAAGUCGAACGGUAACAGGCCGCAAGGUGCUGACGAGUGGCGAACGGGUGAGUAAUGCAUCGGAACGUGCCCAGUCGUGGGGGAUAACGCAGCGAAAGCUGUGCUAAUACCGCAUACGAUCUAUGGAUGAAAGCGGGGGACCGUAAGGCCUCGCGCGAUUGGAGCGGCCGAUGUCAGAUUAGGAAGUUGGUGGGGUAAAGGCUCACCAAGCCAACGAUCUGUAGCUGGUCUUAGAGGACGACCAGCCACACGGGGACUGAGACACGGCCCAGACUCCUACGGGAGGCAGCAGUGGGGAAUUUUGGACAAUGGGCGCAAGCCUGAUCCAGCCAUUCCGCGUGAAUGAAGAAGGCCUUCGGGUUGUAAAGCUCUUUCGGCAGGAACGAAACGGUCUUUUCUAAUACAAGAGGCUACUGACGGUACCUGAAGAAGAAGCACCGGCUAACUACGUGCCAGCCGCCGCAGUAA